CAGAUCAUGUAAGAAUUUAAUGGUCGAACAGACCAAAACUAGUAAAAUUUUGCACUUACUAUUUAUCUUAAUUCAACAUCGAGGUCGCAAACCUUUACAUCGAUAUGAACUCUCCGUAAAGAUUACGCUGUUAUCCCUAAGGUAAGUUAAUCUUAUAAUCAAAAAUUCUGGAUCAAAAAUACAUAAAUCAAUGAAAAAAAAAUAAUUAAAAGUUUUAAAAAUUUCAAUGUCGCCCCAACAAAAAUUUCUCUUCUAAAAAAUCAUUAUAUAAACAAAAAAUAAAAAUUUAUAAAGAAAGUUAACUUCUAUAGGGUCUUCUCGUCCUAUAAAAAAAUUUUAGCUUUUUAACUAAAAAAUUAAAUUCAAAAUCAUUAAAAUAAGAAAGUUUAUUUUUCAUCAAACCAUUCAUUCUAGUCUUCAAUUAAAAGACAAAUGAUUAUGCUACCUUCGUACAGUUAAAAUACCGCAGCCUUUUAAUAUUAUUAAUCAAUGGGCAGGUCCGAUCUAAAAAUAAAAUCUAAAAACCAUGUUUUUGUUA
RNAcentral lists this ribosomal RNA (538 nucleotides) under Potamometropsis sumaldei. Its description in RNAcentral is "partial 16S ribosomal RNA". Lineage: Eukaryota; Metazoa; Arthropoda; Insecta; Hemiptera; Gerridae. The record is from RNAcentral.